CCCCUAGAUGUUCUGGGCCGCACGCGCGCUACACUGAACAGUUCAACAAGUCUUAACCUUGGCCGAUAGGUCUGGGUAAUCUUUGAACGCUGUUCGUGAUUGGGAUAGACCUUUGCAAUUAUGGGUCUUCAACGAGGAAUUCCUAGUAAACGCAAGUCAUCAGCUUGCAUUGAUUACGUCCCUGCCCUUUGUACACACCGCCCGUCGCACCUACCGAUUGAAUGGUCCGGUGAAAUCUCGGGACGGCGGCUUGGUCGCUUGCGUCCGACUGCUGAAACUUGAUUAAACCAUAUCAUUUAGAGGAGGGUGAAGUCGUANCA
Molecule: ribosomal RNA, 320 nt
Filed under: uncultured eukaryote
Lineage: Eukaryota
Description: partial 18S ribosomal RNA
Rfam family: Eukaryotic small subunit ribosomal RNA
Source: RNAcentral